This 449-nucleotide ribosomal RNA is filed under the name uncultured bacterium. RNAcentral describes it as "partial 16S ribosomal RNA". It matches the Rfam family "Bacterial small subunit ribosomal RNA", at positions 29 to 523 of the family's 1533-position model. The record is from RNAcentral.
AGCGAACGCUGGCGGCAGGCCUAACACAUGCAAGUCGAACGAACUCUUCGGAGUUAGUGGCGGACGGGUGAGUAACACGUGGGAACGUGCCUUUAGGUUCGGAAUAACUCAGGGAAACUUGUGCUAAUACCGAAUGUGCCCUUCGGGGGAAAGAUUUAUCGCCUUUAGAGCGGCCCGCGUCUGAUUAGCUAGUUGGUGAGGUAACGGCUCACCAAGGCGACGAUCAGUAGCUGGUCUGAGAGGAUGACCAGCCACACUGGGACUGAGACACGGCCCAGACUCCUACGGGAGACAGCAGUGGGGAAUCUUGCGCAAUGGGCGAAAGCCUGACGCAGCCAUGCCGCGUGAAUGAUGAAGGUCUUAGGAUUGUAAAAUUCUUUCACCGGGGACGAUAAUGACGGUACCCGGAGAAGAAGCCCCGGCUAACUUCGUGCCAGCAGCCGCAGUAA